CUUGAUCGAGCCGAGCCACAGCGGGUGUUCGGCGGUGUGCUCGCGCCCGUAGACGGCGAGCAGGGCCUGCGCCUC
RNAcentral lists this antisense RNA (75 nucleotides) under Streptomyces rubellomurinus. RNAcentral's name for it is "ASpks TB sRNA". It matches the Rfam family "ASpks TB sRNA". Lineage: Bacteria; Bacillati; Actinomycetota; Actinomycetes; Kitasatosporales; Streptomycetaceae. RNAcentral also lists the same sequence under 2 other names. The record is from Rfam by way of RNAcentral.